Molecule: ribosomal RNA, 1465 nt
Filed under: Prochlorococcus sp. AG-409-P03
Lineage: Bacteria; Bacillati; Cyanobacteriota; Cyanophyceae; Synechococcales; Prochlorococcaceae
Description: bacterial SSU rRNA
Rfam family: Bacterial small subunit ribosomal RNA
Source: RNAcentral
AGAGUUUGAUCCUGGCUCAGGAUGAACGCUGGCGGCGUGCUUAACACAUGCAAGUCGAACGAACCUUCGGGUUAGUGGCGGACGGGUGAGUAACGCGUGGGAAUCUGCCCUCAGGAGGGGGAUAACGGCUGGAAACGGCCGCUAAUACCCCAUAUGCCGAGAGGUGAAAUGAAUUUCGCCUGAGGAUGAGCCCGCGUCUGAUUAGCUUGUUGGUGGGGUAAUGGCUCACCAAGGCUUCGAUCAGUAGCUGGUCUGAGAGGAUGAUCAGCCACACUGGGACUGAGACACGGCCCAGACUCCUACGGGAGGCAGCAGUGGGGAAUUUUCCGCAAUGGGCGAAAGCCUGACGGAGCAACGCCGCGUGAGGGAUGAAGGCCUCUGGGCUGUAAACCUCUUUUCUCAAGGAAGAAGAUCUGACGGUACUUGAGGAAUAAGCCACGGCUAAUUCCGUGCCAGCAGCCGCGGUAAUACGGGAGUGGCAAGCGUUAUCCGGAAUUAUUGGGCGUAAAGCGUCCGCAGGCGGCCUUUCAAGUCUGCUGUUAAAACGUGGAGCUUAACUCCAUCAAGGCAGUGGAAACUGUUGGGCUUGAGUGUGGUAGGGGCAGAGGGAAUUCCCGGUGUAGCGGUGAAAUGCGUAGAUAUCGGGAAGAACACCAGUGGCGAAGGCGCUCUGCUGGGCCAUAACUGACGCUCAUGGACGAAAGCCAGGGGAGCGAAAGGGAUUAGAUACCCCUGUAGUCCUGGCCGUAAACGAUGAACACUAGGUGUCGGGGGAAUCGACCCCCUCGGUGUCGUAGCCAACGCGUUAAGUGUUCCGCCUGGGGAGUACGCACGCAAGUGUGAAACUCAAAGGAAUUGACGGGGGCCCGCACAAGCGGUGGAGUAUGUGGUUUAAUUCGAUGCAACGCGAAGAACCUUACCAGGGUUUGACAUCCUGCGAACCUCUAAGAAAUUGGAGGGUGCCUUCGGGAACGCAGUGACAGGUGGUGCAUGGCUGUCGUCAGCUCGUGUCGUGAGAUGUUGGGUUAAGUCCCGCAACGAGCGCAACCCACGUUUUUAGUUGCCAGCAUUCAGUUGGGCACUCUAGAGAGACCGCCGGUGAUAAACCGGAGGAAGGUGUGGAUGACGUCAAGUCAUCAUGCCCCUUACAUCCUGGGCUACACACGUACUACAAUGCUACGGACAAAGGGCAGCAAACUCGCGAGGGCAAGCAAAUCCCAUAAACCGUGGCUCAGUUCAGAUCGUAGGCUGCAACUCGCCUACGUGAAGGAGGAAUCGCUAGUAAUCGCAGGUCAGCAUACUGCGGUGAAUACGUUCCCGGGCCUUGUACACACCGCCCGUCACACCAUGGAAGUUGGCCACGCCCGAAGUCGUUACUCCAACCCUUGUGGAGGAGGACGCCGAAGGUGGGGCUGAUGACUGGGGUGAAGUCGUAACAAGGUAGCCGUACCGGAAGGUGCGGCUG